This is a long non-coding RNA of Triticum dicoccoides, 1603 nucleotides long. RefSeq lists it as uncharacterized. The transcript is spliced from 6 exons. Lineage: Eukaryota; Viridiplantae; Streptophyta; Magnoliopsida; Poales; Poaceae. The record is from RefSeq and is a predicted model, not a curated record.
GAGCAUGGAGGAGGGCUCUAGGUGACGGCAGCGCAUGGCAAAGGGCUCUGGAUUGUGGCGGGGAAGGAGCGGAGGAACUAUGCAUCCGGGAAUGGCGCGACUGCCGAUCCUAUCUGUUGGUCUACUGUUUGACAGGUGCCACAACGGCCUUGUAGCUUCAGAUUUACAAAUUGCUAAGGAGCGGAGCAUGGAGGAGGGCUCUGAGUCAUGGUGGGAGAAAUAUGGUUGUGUACAUGGCAACGCACGGGCACUCUUGUAGACUCUAGCUAGACUUGGACAAUAAUGCUUACGUGUGUUAGUGGGUUGCAGGGAUUUAGAGCAUCCACACGAUCUCGGUCGUCAAUGGCCUGAAGCCAAAUUUUAUUUCUGUUAACUCACAAAUGGUCGUGUGCUGAACUGCUGAUGUCAGGCUGUUAGGCUGUUAAUUGUUCUGCUACUGUCGAAAGAGAAAGCCCAGCUCGAAGCCUAAAGGAUAUGACAUCCCAGGAGCCAUCACUGAAGGUCUUCAGGCCAUGACGAUACCGCUUGUGCCAGAGAGGGUUGCACUUAAAUUUGAGCAUCGGAAAAGCAGAGCAGGUUGCUAUAACGCCCCAUUAGAGUGGAAGUAUAUCAGUAAGAAUUAUACACAAUCAUCCCCUUUUUACAUUUGUAUAGUUUUUUGUGGAGGAUGUCAUGUUAUCCUUUUGUGAGAAGGACUCUCAAUGGCUCUUAUGGCAUGCCAUCAAUACACUACAUGGGUCAUCAAGGAGACUACCACACUCUUGUGAGUUUAACUUCCCGAGAAAAAAAUGCACUCAGAAGUGGCUCUCAGCUCAUUAUGAUAUUUUCACUGAACAAUUGUUCCAAAUUUUAGAUAAUGGAUAUGCUUGGUCCUAACCUAUAGGAUGUUCAUGAUUCACUUGAACAGAAGAAGUAUACUUUCCAUCUUUUCAUCCUCGCUGCUUGUUCUCCUUACUACUUGCUGAAAGUAUGAACUCCCCUAACAGGAUGCCAUUUCAAAUGGUUGCUCAUAUUGUUGUUGAUGCCGUAUCAAUUUUUGAGAAGAUUGACUCCAAAGGGUAAUUUAAAGCCACUUGAUGUUUUUGAGUUGCAUUUUCCAUAGUUUUUACUCACUGAUGUUAACACUUGCUGCCAUUUUUCCCCAGUGGUGUUAACACUUGCUGCUCCUACUAUUAUUCCCAGCUUUGUACAUGGUGAUGUCAAACCUGAAAACUUUUUGCUUGGUCAGCUUGGAUAUGCUCAAGAAAAUAAGCUUUUAUCAUUAAUUUUGGCUUAGUAUUCUAUUACAUAACGUAGUUUCAUCCGUACAUGAAGAUAUUCAAUUUGGUGUUCUCAAAACACUAUGCCCUUUGCUCAGAGCAAUUGGCAUACUUGUUAGAAUGUUGAUGCAUUUUAUGCCCUGCUAACCUUUUUCACAUGGUUCUUUUGAUAUUAAAAUUAUGCAGCAUCCAACUGGAAAAGAGGAUCAUGCAACAAGCAUGUUCAGUAUGACCAGAGGCCAGACAUAUUUAGGGGAGCAAUUAGAUAUGCCAUCGUCCAUGCCUGUUUAGGUCGUACAGGCAGUAGGAGGGAUGAUUUGGAGUCACUAGCAUACACCCUUCUA